UGGGGAAUUUUGGACAAUGGGCGAAAGCCUGAUCCAGCAAUGCCGCGUGUGUGAAGAAGGCCUUCGGGUUGUAAAGCACUUUUGUCCGGAAAGAAAUCCUUGGCUCUAAUACAGUCGGGGGAUGACGGUACCGGAAGAAUAAGCACCGGCUAACUACGUGCCAGCAGCCGCGGUAAUACGUAGGGUGCAAGCGUUAAUCGGAAUUACUGGGCGUAAAGCGUGCGCAGGCGGUUUGCUAAGACCGAUGUGAAAUCCCCGGGCUCAACCUGGGGAACUGCAUUGGUGACUGGCAGGCUAGAGUAUGGCAGAGGGGGGUAGAAUUCCACGUGUAGCAGUGAAAUGCGUAGAGAUGUGGAGGAAUACGAUGGCGAAGGCAGCCCCCUGGGCCAAAUACUGACGCUCAUGCACGAAAAGCGUGGGGAGCAAAACAGGAUUAGAUACCCUGGUAGUCCACGCCCUAAAACGAUGUCAACUAGUUGUUGGGGAUUCAUUUCCUUAGUAACGUAGCUAACGCGUGAAGUUGACCGCCUGGGGGAGUACGGUCGCAAGAUUAAAACUUAAAUGAAUUGACGGGGUCAUAGCUGUUUCCU
RNAcentral lists this ribosomal RNA (590 nucleotides) under uncultured bacterium. Its description in RNAcentral is "partial 16S ribosomal RNA". It matches the Rfam family "Bacterial small subunit ribosomal RNA", at positions 355 to 1375 of the family's 1533-position model. The record is from RNAcentral.